AUGUCGGCAGGGAGCGAGCGCUCGAACGCGGCCUACGCGACCCCGGCGGCGGUGCUGGCGGGCUUCUCGCGCGGAUCCGGCCCGUCCGUCUCCGGCGCCGGCAGCGGCAGCGGGAGGAGCCAGGCGGAGGGCGGGGCGAGGAAGAAGCCCCCGUUCCGCCUCGCGGCGGACGACACCAAGCCCAUCCUCCGCGACCCGAUCUCGCGGUCCGACCCCAUGGAGACCGAGCAGGCCGUGCUGCGGCUGCCGCCCUUCCCCUGA
RNAcentral lists this ribosomal RNA (261 nucleotides) under Triticum aestivum (bread wheat). Its description in RNAcentral is "partial small subunit ribosomal RNA". The record is from RNAcentral. Lineage: Eukaryota; Viridiplantae; Streptophyta; Magnoliopsida; Poales; Poaceae.